This 72-nucleotide transfer RNA is filed under the name Candidatus Heimdallarchaeota archaeon B3_Heim. RNAcentral's name for it is "Candidatus Heimdallarchaeota archaeon B3-JM-08 tRNA-Arg". It matches the Rfam family "tRNA". From Rfam's summary of the family: Transfer RNA (tRNA) molecules are approximately 80 nucleotides in length. Lineage: Archaea; Promethearchaeati; Candidatus Heimdallarchaeota. The record is from RNAcentral.
AGGGACGUAGUCUAGCAUGGUUUUAAUUGUUUUCUGACCAAGAGGUCGCGGGUUCGAAUCCCGUCGUCCCUA